This 253-nucleotide ribosomal RNA is filed under the name uncultured bacterium. Its description in RNAcentral is "partial 16S ribosomal RNA". It matches the Rfam family "Bacterial small subunit ribosomal RNA", at positions 524 to 776 of the family's 1533-position model. The record is from RNAcentral.
UACGAAGGGGGCUAGCGUUGUUCGGAAUUACUGGGCGUAAAGGGCGCGUAGGCGGUGCCUCAAGUCAGGCGUGAAAUCCCUCGGCUUAACCGGGGAACUGCGUCUGAUACUGGAUGGCUUGAGUUCGGGAGAGGGAUGCGGAAUUCCAGGUGUAGCGGUGAAAUGCGUAGAUAUCUGGAGGAACACCGGUGGCGAAGGCGGCAUCCUGGACCGACACUGACACUGAGGAGCGAAAGCCAGGGGAGCAAACGGG